GAUGAACGCUAGCUACAGGCUUAACACAUGCAAGUCGAGGGGAAACGAUAGAGAAAGCUUGCUUUUUCUAGGCGUCGACCGGCGCACGGGUGAGUAACGCGUAUCCAACCUGCCCAUCACUUGGGGAUAACCUUGCGAAAGUAAGACUAAUACCCAAUGACGUCUCUAGAAGACAUCUGAAAGAGAUUAAAGAUUUAUCGGUGAUGGAUGGGGAUGCGUCUGAUUAGCUUGUUGGCGGGGUAACGGCCCGACCAAGGCGACGAUCAGUAGGGGUUCUGAGAGGAAGGUCCCCCACAUUGGAACUGAGACACGGUCCAAACUCCUACGGGAGGCAGCAGUGAGGAAUAUUGGUCAAUGGACGAGAGUCUGAACCAGCCAAGUAGCGUGCAGGAUGACGGCCCUAUGGGUUGUAAACCGCUUUUAUAAGGGAAUAAAGUGAGUCUCGUGAGACUUUUUGCAUGUACCUUAUGAAUAAGGACGGCUGAUUCCGUGCCAGCA
RNAcentral lists this ribosomal RNA (498 nucleotides) under uncultured bacterium. Its description in RNAcentral is "bacterial SSU rRNA". It matches the Rfam family "Bacterial small subunit ribosomal RNA", at positions 28 to 513 of the family's 1533-position model. The record is from RNAcentral.